GAAUAUAUGAUGCAUUCAUCUUUAAGUGUCAUAGUUCUUAUAAGUGGAUUCCCUUGUAUGGGACUCGUCAUGGAACUUUUGAUGUUAACUAUGUGGAUCGCAGUAACAGCAACAACUAACCAUGACUUACAUAGUCUCACUUUACUUCCUUGAGACCUCCAAAAGGAGAGCCUAAAUUCCCUUACAGAAGAUCUGAUGUCGCCCAAAAAUCAUCAUCUUGUUCAAAAUACAAUAAUUACUGCGAGUGUUGCUUGGAUAUUCUUGCUAGGACUACUCGUCCUUUGGCAUGUCGUUCGUCUAUUAUAUAAAUUGAUCAAGCAAAUAGUACGGUGUUGGGUUUUAGAAGUGUGGAGAACGGUUCAAUAAGGCUAAGGGGAUGCAUAGCUUUGGAAUUAAGCUAUGGAUUGUUUGCUUGGUGCGUGCAAAGCAACAAUGAAAGGUAAGGGCUGACUUCAAAUGAGCAUAUCUUAAGGUCUAGAAAUGAUAUUGAGAUGAUUAAAGUUUGAGGUUAUAGCUCAUCUCGAUUUGGUCAAGAAUCCAGGGAGUUAUGGUCGUUUUAUGAAGAGUUGUCUGUGCAGUGCGGAAGUUCGACAUAACUCUAGAAAAGUUUGGUCGAACCGUUUGAAGAAAUUAAACUGCUGCUACUGACAGCCUUGUCCGACCGAACAUUAGGUAAGUUCGACCAAUCUACCCUUAGUUCGGUCUACAGGGGAUAGGUUCGGUCGAACCUCAUGCGUGCCCCUCACUACUAGAAAUAGGUCGUUUUCCGACAGAAUCGUUCCGAUGGACCUAAAAUUCCGUUGGAAAAUUCGAAUUUUCCGAUGAAUUUGGAUCCGUCAGAAUAUCCGUCGGAAAAGGUAUUUUCCGACAUAAAAUUCCUCAGAAUUAUUCCGUCAGAAGUAUGUAUUUCCAACAGAAUUUCAUUUCGUCAGAAUUAAUUAAAACAUAACCAAGCUUGUUUCAUUGUAAUUCACGAAAAGAAACAAAAAAGGGGAAGAGUGAGAAAAAGCAAAUGGGAGAAAGAUAAAGAGAAAGAGAAAAAGAAAGAGGAAGUGGAAGAGGACCGGCGACCACCAGAUCCGCCGCAACCACCAGCUUACACCGCCUUGAUUCCUUGGCCGCUGAUCAGUAAUUAAGUGUAGUUAAUUUUGUGAUUUUUUUUUACUUUUUUUUUCGGAUCCCUAACCAGAAUCACUGUUUUUGCAGCCACCCCCGUUCCUCCUUCAUCGCUGCCACCUGAGCCAGCUUCUGCCGCCCUUGACGCCACUGUGAGGCACCACCGACGCCACCUCCGAUCCAUCAAGCUACCUCCGACCUCCUCCCCUCCGUCGCCGCGAUCAGAACCACCACCUUUUUCCUAUGCUGAAACUUCCGCCACUACCAACGCCACCUCCACCAAGCUUGUCGUGCAGCCACCACCAAGUUUAUAUCUACCUAUAGUGAGUUCCUUUUCCCCUUUUGUUUCAAUUCAAUUUUAUUUUGGUAUAAUAAUAAACCCUUUUAUAUUUUUUUUACUUUUAAUUUUUUGUAGGAUUUGUACAAUUAGUGGGUAUAUUGUCACAUUACAAACCCUUAUACAAUGCAUGUUAGUUUAGUUUAGUGUAUUUUAAUAUAAUGUAGUUUAAUUUAGUUUAGGUUUAUGUAAUGUAUGUUAGUUUAGUUUAAUAUUAUGAUAUGUUAGUUUGGUUUGGUUUAGAUUUAUCAGCGGUUUUCCGUGCUAGCGACAUUUAUUAUCGGUUUUGAGGAUAACACUAUGGAUUUCUUUCACGGCAACCACAUACAUGAACUCAGUAAUCAGACUAACUUAUAAAGGAGGCGGAAUUUUGUUUGCAUUAGGGAUUUCUCUCAUAGCUUGGCUAGCGUUAAUGGGAACUAUAGUUGUUGCACAUGUUGUGCGAUUCAUAUAGAAGAUUAUUAGUUGGCAAAGGAGGCAAUCAAUAAUAAGAUUUUACAAGAUGUGUUAUCCGAGAAGGUCAAAAAACACUACAAAUGAAUCAAAUUUGAUCAACGGCGUAUGAUAGUCUCAACACAAGGUGCGUCGUCUUUACAGUCAUUGGCUCGUCGCGUUCUAAUUCAGCCAUGUUUGUUUCCCGGUUGUUAAAUAAUAAUGUACGAGUAGUACUUUAAUUGAUUAGAUUUCACGCAAUAAGCAUCAUUUUAUUCGAUCAUGUACCAUCUUCAUAAUUAGCUUGUAUGUGAAAGUUUGUUAUUUUACAUUGUAUGUGAAAUAUAUGAGCAAACAUCAAUUAUAAUUGGCCUA
Long non-coding RNA from Chenopodium quinoa (quinoa), 2260 nucleotides. RefSeq lists it as uncharacterized. NCBI's taxonomy places the organism in Eukaryota, Viridiplantae, Streptophyta, Magnoliopsida, Caryophyllales, Amaranthaceae. The transcript has 3 exons. The record is from RefSeq and is a predicted model, not a curated record.